This 193-nucleotide unclassified non-coding RNA is filed under the name plant metagenome. RNAcentral describes it as "partial contains small subunit ribosomal RNA and internal transcribed spacer 1". The stretch from base 1 to 46 matches the Rfam family "Eukaryotic small subunit ribosomal RNA", at positions 1786 to 1831 of the family's 1831-position model. The record is from RNAcentral.
AAGUCGUAACAAGGUUUCCGUAGGUGAACCUGCGGAAGGAUCAUUAAAGAAUUCGGCUUCGCGGCCAAGCUCUCACCCCUUUGUAUACCGAAACCAUGUUGCUUUGGAGGGCCCCCUGCAUUUUCUCGGGCCUGCCCAGAGGUUAUAAAACCCCUAGAAUCUCUGCUGUCUGAGUACUAUGCAAUAGUUAAAA